Molecule: unclassified non-coding RNA, 343 nt
Filed under: soil metagenome
Description: partial contains 5.8S ribosomal RNA, internal transcribed spacer 2, and large subunit ribosomal RNA
Rfam family: 5.8S ribosomal RNA (bases 1-121)
Source: RNAcentral
GAUGAAGAACGCAGCGAAAUGCGAUAAGUAAUGUGAAUUGCAGAAUUCAGUGAAUCAUCGAAUCUUUGAACGCACCUUGCGCCCUUUGGCUAUUCCGAAGGGCAUGCCUGUUCGAGCGUCAUUUGUACCCUCAAGCUUUGCUUGGUGUUGGGCGUCUUGUCUCUAGCUUUGCUGGAGACUCGCCUUAAAGUAAUUGGCAGCCGGCCUACUGGUUUCGGAGCGCAGCACAAGUCGCACUCUCUAUCAGCAAAGGUCUAGCAUCCAUUAAGCCUUUUUUUUCAACUUUUGACCUCGGAUCAGGUAGGGAUACCCGCUGAACUUAAGCAUAUCAAUAAGCGGAGGA